This 479-nucleotide ribosomal RNA is filed under the name uncultured bacterium. Its description in RNAcentral is "bacterial SSU rRNA". It matches the Rfam family "Bacterial small subunit ribosomal RNA", at positions 30 to 507 of the family's 1533-position model. The record is from RNAcentral.
AUUGAACGCUGGCGGCAUGCCUUACACAUGCAAGUCGAACGGCAGCACGGGAGCAAUCCUGGUGGCGAGUGGCGAACGGGUGAGUAAUAUAUCGGAACGUGCCCGGUCGUGGGGGAUAACGUAGCGAAAGCUACGCUAAUACCGCAUACGAUCUACGGAUGAAAGCGGGGGAUCGCAAGACCUCGCGCGAUUGGAGCGGCCGAUAUCAGAUUAGGUAGUUGGUGAGGUAAAGGCUCACCAAGCCGACGAUCUGUAGCUGGUCUGAGAGGACGACCAGCCACACUGGGACUGAGACACGGCCCAGACUCCUACGGGAGGCAGCAGUGGGGAAUUUUGGACAAUGGGCGCAAGCCUGAUCCAGCCAUGCCGCGUGCAGGAAUAAGGUCCUAUGGAUUGUAAACUGCUUUUAUACAGGAAGAAACACUCCGACGUGUCGGAGCUUGACGGUACUGUAAGAAUAAGGAUCGGCUAACUCCGUG